This 459-nucleotide ribosomal RNA is filed under the name uncultured bacterium. Its description in RNAcentral is "partial 16S ribosomal RNA". It matches the Rfam family "Bacterial small subunit ribosomal RNA", at positions 338 to 795 of the family's 1533-position model. The record is from RNAcentral.
CCUACGGGAGGCUGCAGUGAGGAAUAUUGGUCAAUGGGCGAGAGGCUGAACCAGCCAAGUCGCGUGAGGGAUGACGGUUCUAUGGGUUGUAAACCUCUUUUGUCAGGGAAUAAAGAGUGGGACGUGUCCUAUUUUGUAUGUACCUGAUGAAAAAGCAUCGGCUAACUCCGUGCCAGCAGCCGCGGUAAUACGGAGGAUCCGAGCGUUAUCCGGAUUUAUUGGGUUUAAAGGGUGCGUAGGCGGAGGUUUAAGUCAGCGGUCAAAUUUGGGGGCUCAACCCUGGACUGCCGGUGAAAAUGGGGGCCUUGAGUACGUGAGAGGUAUGCGGAAUGCGUGGUGUAGCGGUGAAAUGCUUAGAUAUCACGCAGAACUCCGAUUGCGAAGGCAGCCUGCCAGGCCACGACUGACGCUGAUGCACGAAAGCGUGGGGAUCAAACAGGAUUAGAUACCCGAGUAGUC